GCACGAAGCUGGAAUCGCUAGUAAUCGCGGAUCAGCACGCCGCGGUGAAUACGUUCCCGGGCCUUGUACACACCGCCCGUCACACCAUGAGAGCCGAUAACACCCGAAGCCUGUGAGCUAACCGUAAGGGGGCAGCAGUCGAAGGUGGGGUUGGUGAUUGGGGUGAAGUCGUAACAAGGUAAC
This 183-nucleotide ribosomal RNA is filed under the name uncultured bacterium. RNAcentral describes it as "partial 16S ribosomal RNA". It matches the Rfam family "Bacterial small subunit ribosomal RNA", at positions 1318 to 1500 of the family's 1533-position model. The record is from RNAcentral.